This 200-nucleotide ribosomal RNA is filed under the name uncultured eukaryote. Its description in RNAcentral is "partial 18S ribosomal RNA". The record is from RNAcentral.
UGGUGGAGCGAUUUAUCUGGUUAACUCCGAUAAAGAACGGGUUGGCCUGCUAGCUAGCGACAGGGACCUGCCGGGCAGUGGCUGUGGCGCGCGCCUGCAGUUUCGGCCGUGCGUGCGCUGCCACGCCGCCGCCCCAUCCUUGGCCUGCUUCUUAGAGGGACACUCGGCGCUUCAGCCAACGGAGGUCUGAGGCAAUAACA